Molecule: ribosomal RNA, 383 nt
Filed under: uncultured bacterium
Lineage: Bacteria
Description: bacterial SSU rRNA
Rfam family: Bacterial small subunit ribosomal RNA
Source: RNAcentral
AUUGAACGCUGGCGGCAUGCCUUACACAUGCAAGUCGAACGGCAGCACGGGGGCGAACCCUGGUGGCGAGUGGCGAACGGGUGAGUAAUGCAUCGGAACGUGCCCAGUAGUGGGGGAUAACUAGUCGAAAGAUUAGCUAAUACCGCAUACGACCUAUGGGUGGAAAGCGGGGAGUUCGCAAGAACCUCGCGCUAUUGGAGCGGCCGAUGUCUGAUUAGCUAGUUGGCGGGGUAAAAGCCCACCAAGGCUUCGAUCAGUAGCUGGUCUGAGAGGACGACCAGCCACACUGGGACUGAGACACGGCCCAGACUCCUACGGGAGGCAGCAGUGGGGAAUUUUGGACAAUGGGCGCAAGCCUGAUCCAGCCAUGCCGCGUGCGGAAG